This 497-nucleotide ribosomal RNA is filed under the name uncultured bacterium. Its description in RNAcentral is "partial 16S ribosomal RNA". It matches the Rfam family "Bacterial small subunit ribosomal RNA", at positions 28 to 507 of the family's 1533-position model. The record is from RNAcentral.
GACGAACGCUGGCGGCGUGCCUAAUACAUGCAAGUCGAGCGAAUUGUCGAUGAGCUUGGCCCUCUGCCCUUAGCGGAGGACGGUUGAGUAACGCGUGGUAAACCUACCGUAAACUGCGGGAUAACGUCGGGAAACCGGAGCUAAUACCUGCUAAUAUAUCGUACCUCAUUUUACUGUAGGGAAAGUGGGUGUUAGGGGCAUUUGUGUCUGGAUUCGGUGGACAUGAGCUAGUUGGGAAGGUAAGGGCUUACCAAGGCAACCAAGCGUAGCCGACCUAAGAGGGUGAUGGGCCAACUUGGAACUGAGACCGGCCCCAGACUCCUCCGGGAGGCGGCAGAAGGGAAUCUUGCGCAAGGGGGGAAAGCCGGACGGAGCAACGCCGGGGGAGUGAUGAAGGUCUCCGGAUCGUAAAACUCUGUUUUUAGGGAAGAACAAAUGUGUAAGUAACUAUGCACGUCUUGACGGUACCUAAUCAGAAAGCCACGGCUAACUACGUG